CGGGACAUAGCGCAGUUUGGUAGCGCGCUUGCUUUGGGAGCAAGAUGUCGCGGGUUCAAAUCCCGCUGUCCCGACCG
Molecule: transfer RNA, 77 nt
Filed under: Bifidobacterium oedipodis
Lineage: Bacteria; Bacillati; Actinomycetota; Actinomycetes; Bifidobacteriales; Bifidobacteriaceae
Description: tRNA-Pro
Rfam family: tRNA
About the family: Transfer RNA (tRNA) molecules are approximately 80 nucleotides in length. Their secondary structure includes four short double-helical elements and three loops (D, anti-codon, and T loops).
Source: RNAcentral